CGUUGCGAUCAUACCAGCACUAAUGCACCGGAUCCCAUCAGAACUCCGCAGUUAAGCGUGCUUGGGCGAGAGUAGUACUAGGAUGGGUGACCCCUUGGGAAGUCCUCGUGUUGCAACCC
RNAcentral lists this ribosomal RNA (119 nucleotides) under Helianthus annuus (common sunflower). Lineage: Eukaryota; Viridiplantae; Streptophyta; Magnoliopsida; Asterales; Asteraceae. The record is from RNAcentral.